Molecule: long non-coding RNA, 2271 nt
Organism: Gossypium raimondii (Peruvian cotton)
Lineage: Eukaryota; Viridiplantae; Streptophyta; Magnoliopsida; Malvales; Malvaceae
Exons: 2
Source: RefSeq, a predicted model, not a curated record
UUCCCUAAAUUCCCCCCUAAAACCCCUAAUUUUUCCCCCUAAAAUUUGUAUCCUCAAAACACCCUUUAGGUGUUUCUAUCCGCCACCACGCCUUCAUCAUCAUCGUUCCCUACUUUUGCUACUUUAAGCUCCUCUUCUUCUCAACCACCGUCUUUGUUUUUCUCUUGUUUAUCCGGUCGGUGUAUUUUUCAGGAAAAUCCAAAUUUUUCCGAAAGAUUUCCCGACCGACGAUUAUUCCAUCUUUAUCUUUUCGUCAAAAUCUCGAAAAUCAAAACAAUUCCGGUGUUUUUGUUUUUGAAGCUAAAGAGUCAUCUUGUUUUCCUUCUCCUGAUCGCUUGAUUUUGCCGCUAAACCUCUUCUGAUUUUGCAGCUAGGUACACUGUGAGAUCUUUUGGAAUCAGGCGUAAUGAGAAGAUUGCUUGCUACGUGACUCUGAAUAUUUCAAGUACAAAAGAUGAAAAAUAAAGAAGAAUCGUUUCAAUUCUUAGCCAUGGCGGAACAGGUCCACAUUCCUCUUUCUCUGCCUUUUAUCUGUCUUAUUUUUAUUUGUUGAAACUGCUUUGAUCUUUCUUUUUAUUUUAUAUUAGACGGAGAAAGCAUUUCUCAAACACCCAAAGGUGUUUUUAAGGUGAACUAGCUUCUUCCAUGUCUUUAUUAAUUCUUGGUUUUGUUGAUUUCAUUUUUAGAUUAUUGUUUCCCCCCUGUUAAAUUAUGAAUCCAUCUGUUACAAAUCUGUUUUGCAUUGUUCAUCAAAUAACAUGCACAAAUAAUAUUAUUUGUAUAUAUUUUGAGGAAAAUUAUAAUAUUAUUAUAUAUAAUCAAUGCAAAAUUUUUAAGGCACCUUAUUAAAUACGAAAUUUAUAGGCACGAAACUAAGAAUGAUUGAAGCUUCUGCAAACUUUUUUGUUGUCAACAUGGCGACUUUAGCUUUCUCAGCAUCAAUAAUUAUUGAACUGUUAACCUUAAUCUACUCAAAAUCACAUUCCUUAGCAAGCUUCAUAACUAGCUUAACGACACACUAAUCUCUUAAAAGCAAAGAAUUUAAUUGAAGUUCAUAUUUUUGCAAGUUAAAUUUAGUAGAGUCUGUCAUCAUUCAUUGUGUGGUUAUUUGUGUUUUUCGGCCACUGUAUGUUGUUUUUGCUUUUUCCUUUUGUGGUGCUUUGUCGCACAGCACUUAGGCUACAUAUCCCCACGAGUUUGAAGACUUCGCUACUAAAAUUCUGUGGAAGGCAAAUUUCUCUAUAAAUUAUGAAAUUGUUCUAAAAGAAAAGAAAGAAGCUUAAAAUGUGAAAAAAAAAAGAACUCAUCAAACUGUUCUUUUUUGAACAUUAAAUACCUCUGCUAGUAAUUUUGGAUACCGCUUCUUUGCUUCCAAUCAUACCUUGUUUAUUUCUAUUCCAAUUAGAUUACAUUGAUAUGAGCAUGCUUUAUCUGUUGACACCUUUCAUAAACUAGUUUCUGUGCAAAUCACGUAUCCUUUUCAUAAUUCCUUGAAAAGAUUUUAUAUUACAAAAUAAGAUCAUUGUCUAUCUUUAAGUUUUGUUCCUCAUGAAGUUUGAACAUAGAUUUGUUGACCAGAAUGUUGUGUUUCAUGUUUUCACUUAGAAAUACCCUUUGUAACUUUUUUAAACAUUUACCUGAUUUUGGCCAACCGAAAUCUUCUUACUUCUUAUCUACAUGUUUUUUAUUCAAUUAUUGGAUAUUCUGUUUGAUUCCGUGUUAAAAUGUGGAAGGUGUUACUGGAUUAUGGAUUGGCAUUCUGUAACUAUUUUCCUUGACAAACUUACAAAUAAAGCAAUCACAUUCACUAUUUUUCAAGCCUUUCAAACCACUUGCGUCUUACUCCUCUAUGUUGAAUCAAAUUGUGGAAUUGCUAAGUGCUAGAGACUAUAAAGCUGCCAUGCAGCUAUCAGAAAAUCUAAGAAGCUUGGCACUGAAGGGACUUCAUUAUUUUCAAACUUUUUGAGGAUUCACUUCGGCUUUCUCUUCUGUUUUUGCUUCUUUGAUUCAGCUAAUAGAGCAUGUAGAUACCAAAUUUGCAGUUCAAAUUCGAAGCCAUGCUCAAAAGUUUUUCUCUAAGGCUCAUUGCUUUGGGUUCAUUACAAGAUUUCCUUGAUUAAGUAAAUGUAUUGUAUAUUUUAUUACCUUGCAUAUGUAUUAUUUAUUUUAGUUUUGAUUCUAAAUUUUUAUUUUUACUUAAGUGUUCUAACUUUUAGAUUUUAAUUGUGUUAUUAAUUUAUUAUUUUAAAUUCUAAAUUUAAAUUCAUUAAA